UACAGAGGGUGCGAGCGUUAAUCGGAAUUACUGGGCGUAAAGCGCACGUAGGUGGUUACGUAAGUCGGGUGUGAAAUCCCCGGGCUCAACCUGGGAACUGCAUUCGAGACUGCAUAGCUAGAGUACGGGAGAGGAAGGCGGAAUUCCCGGUGUAGCGGUGAAAUGCGUAGAUAUCGGGAGGAACAUCAGUGGCGAAGGCGGCCUUCUGGCCCAGUACUGACACUCAAGUGCGAAAGCGUGGGGAGCAAACAGG
This 253-nucleotide ribosomal RNA is filed under the name uncultured bacterium. RNAcentral describes it as "partial 16S ribosomal RNA". It matches the Rfam family "Bacterial small subunit ribosomal RNA", at positions 524 to 776 of the family's 1533-position model. The record is from RNAcentral.